Long non-coding RNA from Scaptodrosophila lebanonensis, 300 nucleotides. RefSeq lists it as uncharacterized. The record is from RefSeq and is a predicted model, not a curated record. Lineage: Eukaryota; Metazoa; Arthropoda; Insecta; Diptera; Drosophilidae. The transcript is spliced from 2 exons.
GCUCUGUGAUGAGCAGCUGAGCGCGACUAGGCUGCUGUGUGUAAAUUCCCACCUCCACGGCUGUCCGAAUCGGCCGCUCGCUGAGGCGUCCAAUGCCCGAGGAUGAUGCAAAACAUGCCGAAUCACCUAUAUACUGUCGUUGUUUUCCACCACAUGGGCAGGCCCACCACAAUGAUGACUACAAUGAACGCAACUGUCGCACCAAUGCGAAAUUUAUCUGAAAUUCAAAUGAAUUAAUUAUUUUUAUCAUAAAAUUAAUCAAUUUUGGUUGUAUAUAAGUAUAAUCGAAAUGAAAUUACA